GGAGGAUUAGCUCAGCUGGGAGAGCACCUGCCUUACAAGCAGGGGGUCGGCGGUUCGAUCGUCAUCCUCCACCA
Molecule: transfer RNA, 74 nt
Filed under: Priestia megaterium
Lineage: Bacteria; Bacillati; Bacillota; Bacilli; Caryophanales; Bacillaceae
Description: Bacillus megaterium tRNA-Val
Rfam family: tRNA
About the family: Transfer RNA (tRNA) molecules are approximately 80 nucleotides in length. Their secondary structure includes four short double-helical elements and three loops (D, anti-codon, and T loops).
Source: RNAcentral